Molecule: ribosomal RNA, 507 nt
Filed under: uncultured bacterium
Lineage: Bacteria
Description: partial 16S ribosomal RNA
Rfam family: Bacterial small subunit ribosomal RNA
Source: RNAcentral
GACGAACGCUGGCGGCGUGCCUAAUACAUGCAAGUCGAACGCAUUUUCUUUCACCGUAGCUUGCUACACCGAAAGAAACUGAUUGGCGAACGGGUGAGUAACUCGUCGUUAACUUGCCCAUCAUCGGGGGAUAACACUUUGAAACAGGUUCUAAUCCCCCAUAAUUCCAUUUACUGCAUGGUAGUUGGUUGAAUGGCGCUUUUUCGUCCCUUUUGUAUGUUCCCGCGGUGCAUUUGCUAGUUGGUGGGGUAAAGGCCUACCAAGGCUGCGAUGCAUAGCCGACCUGAGAGGGUGAUCAGCCAAACUGGGAAGGAGACACGGCCCAGAGGGCUACGGGAGGCAGCAGUAGGGAAACGGCGGGAAUGGACGCAAGUCAGACCGAGAAAAGCGGAGUGAGUGAAGAAGGUUGUCGGAUCGGAAAACACUGUUGUUAGAAAAGAACAAGGAUGAGAGUGGAAAGAACAGCGCGUGACGGUAACUAACCAGAAAGCCACGGCUAACUACGUG